RNAcentral lists this ribosomal RNA (242 nucleotides) under uncultured bacterium. Its description in RNAcentral is "partial 16S ribosomal RNA". It matches the Rfam family "Bacterial small subunit ribosomal RNA", at positions 92 to 334 of the family's 1533-position model. The record is from RNAcentral.
AGAGCGGCGAACGGGUGAGUAACACGUGAGUAAUCUGCCCUUCACUCUGGGAUAGCCACCGGAAACGGUGAUUAAUACCGGAUAUGACCCUGCCUGGCAUCUGGUGGGGUGGAAAAGUUCUGGCGGUGAAGGAUGGGCUCGCGGCCUAUCAGCUUGUUGGUGAGGUAAUGGCUCACCAAGGCUUCGACGGGUAGCCGGCCUGAGAGGGUGACCGGCCACACUGGGACUGAGACACGGCCCAG